GCGCUUUGGAAAGAUUCUUCGGAUGAUUUCCUUUGCGACUGAGCGGCGGACGGGUGAGUAACGCGUGGGUAACCUGCCUCAUACAGGGGGAUAACAGUUAGAAAUGACUGCUAAUACCGCAUAAGACCACGGUACCGCAUGGUACAGUGGUAAAAACUCCGGUGGUAUGAGAUGGACCCGCGUCUGAUUAGGUAGUUGGUGGGGUAACGGCCUACCAAGCCGACGAUCAGUAGCCGACCUGAGAGGGUGACCGGCCACAUUGGGACUGAGACACGGCCCAGACUCCUACGGGAGGCAGCAGUGGGGAAUAUUGCACAAUGGAGGAAACUCUGGUGCAGCGACGCCGCGUGAAGGAUGAAGUAUUUCGGUAUGUAAACUUCUAUCAGCAGGGAAGAAAAUGACGGUACCUGACUAAGAAGCCCCGGCUAACUACGUGCCAGCAGCCGCGGUAAUACGUAGGGGGCAAGCGUUAUCCGGAUUUACUGGGUGUAAAGGGAGCGUAGACGGCACGGCAAGCCAGAUGUGAAAGCCCGGGGCUCAACCCCGGGACUGCAUUUGGAACUGCUGAGCUAGAGUGUCGGAGAGGCAAGUGGAAUUCCUAGUGUAGCGGUGAAAUGCGUAGAUAUUAGGAGGAACACCAGUGGCGAAGGCGGCUUG
Molecule: ribosomal RNA, 657 nt
Filed under: uncultured Lachnospiraceae bacterium
Lineage: Bacteria; Bacillati; Bacillota; Clostridia; Lachnospirales; Lachnospiraceae
Description: bacterial SSU rRNA
Rfam family: Bacterial small subunit ribosomal RNA
Source: RNAcentral